UCCCAGGGAAUAUACAGUCACAUGUCUUAACUCUCAUCAUGGUCCCAGAGCUUGUAAAAGUGAGCCCACAGGGCUGACUUGGAGAAGAAAGGUUUGUUUCAGGAUGAACUGUCUGAGAGAU
This is a small nucleolar RNA of 121 nucleotides. Its record names the gene SNORD22. It matches the Rfam family "Small nucleolar RNA SNORD22". From Rfam's summary of the family: U22 is a member of the C/D class of snoRNA which contain the C (UGAUGA) and D (CUGA) box motifs. U22 is encoded within the U22 snoRNA host gene (UHG) in mammals and has also been identified in Xenopus. U22 is thought to as a 2'-O-ribose methylation guide for ribosomal RNA. The record is from Ensembl.